AUUUUGGAGAGUUUGAUCCUGGCUCAGAGUGAACGCUGGCGGCGUGGAUUAGGCAUGCAAGUCGAGCGAUCCUUGCUUGAUACUUACUGGAGUGCUUGCACAAAGGUAAGAGGAUGGCGCUGGAUAGCGGCAAACGGGUGAGUAAUGCGCGAGCAAUUUUCUCUAAAUACGAACAUAGCUUCGUGAAAACGGAGGUAAUAUUCGAUGUGGUCCGAAAAUCGCAUGUUUUUCGGAUUAAAGGUAGGGACCUUCGGGCCUGCCGAUUUAGAAUGAGCUCGCGUCCUAUCAGCUUGUUGGUGGGGUAAAGGCCUACCAAGGCAUAUGACGGGUAGCUGGUCUGAGAGGAUGGUCAGCCACACUGGGACUGAGACACUGCCCAGACUCCUACGGGAGGCUGCAGUCGAGAAUCUUCCUCAAUGGACGAAAGUCUGAAGGAGCGACGCCGCGUGCAGGAUUAAGGCCUUCGGGUUGUAAACUGCUUUUGUAUGGAAAGAAGUUCUGCUAUCUAACAUAUAGUAGAAUUGACGGUACCAUGCGAAUAAGCCACGGCCAACUCCGUGCCAGCAGCCGCGGUAAUACGGAGGUGGCAAGCGUUACUCGGAAUUAUUGGGUGUAAAGGGCAAGUAGGCGGUCUGUUAAGUGAGGGGUGAAAUCUUCCGACUCAAUCGGAAAACUGCCUUUCAAACUAAUAGACUUGAGAUUGGAAGAGGGAAACGGAAUUAGCAGUGUAAGGGUGAAAUCUGUAGAUAUUGCUAAGAACACCAGCGGCGAAGGCGGUUUCCUGGUCCAAAUCUGACGCUAAAUUGCGAAAGCUAGGGUAGCAAACAGAAUUAGAUACUCUGGUAGUCCUAGCUGUAAACGAUGAGCACUAGGUGUUGGGUCUAACGACUCGGUGCCGCAGCUAACGCAUUAAGUGCUCCACCUGGGGACUACGGCCGCAAGGCUAAAACUCAAAGGAAUUGACGGGGACCCGCACAAGCGGUGGAACAUGUGGUUUAAUUCGAUGCUACGCGAAAAACCUCACCAGGGCUUGACAUGUAUGAAGUAGUGAACUGAAAGGGGAACGACCCGUAAAAUCGGGAACUUACACAGGUGCUGCAUGGCUGUCGUCAGCUCGUGUCGUGAGAUGUUGGGUUAAGUCCCGCAACGAGCGCAACCAUUGCCCUAUGUUGCCACCCUCAAAAUCUGCUUGCAGAGAAUGAGGCGCACUCUUAGGGGACUGCCCGGGAUAACCGGGAGGAAGGUGGAGAUGACGUCAAGUCAGUACGGCCUUUAUGCCCUGGGCUACACACGUGUUACAAUGGCUGGUACAAAGGGUUGCCAACCCGCGAGGGGGAGCUAAUCUCAAAAAGCCAGUCUCAGUUCGGAUUGGAGUCUGCAAUUCGACUCCAUGAAGCCGGAAUCGCUAGUAAUGGGAGAUCAGCACGCUCCCGUGAAUACGUUCCCGGGUCUUGUACACACCGCCCGUCAAGCGAUGAAAGCUGGAAGUACCCGAAGUCCUAUGUAGAUAGGCCGAAGGUAAAGCCAGUGAUUGGCGCUAAGUCGUAACAAGGUAGCCGUACGGGAACGUGCGGCUGGAUCACCUCCUUU
Non-coding RNA from Omnitrophica WOR_2 bacterium, 1590 nucleotides. Lineage: Bacteria; Pseudomonadati; Candidatus Omnitrophota. The record is from Rfam.